Non-coding RNA from Phthorimaea operculella (potato tuberworm), 77 nucleotides. NCBI's taxonomy places the organism in Eukaryota, Metazoa, Arthropoda, Insecta, Lepidoptera, Gelechiidae. The record is from the annotation of a GenBank genome assembly.
ACCGCGGUAGCCCAGUUUGUUAGUGGCGUCGGCAGUACAAAUGCCUAAGGUCGCAGGUUCAAAUCCUGCCUGCCGUG